Molecule: ribosomal RNA, 253 nt
Filed under: uncultured bacterium
Lineage: Bacteria
Description: partial 16S ribosomal RNA
Rfam family: Bacterial small subunit ribosomal RNA
Source: RNAcentral
UACAGAGGGGGCAAGCGUUGUUCGGAAUUACUGGGCGUAAAGGGCGCGUAGGCGGCCUGCUAAGUCGAACGUGAAAUCCCUGGGCUCAACCCAGGAACUGCGUCCGAUACUGGUUGGCUUGAAUCCGGGAGAGGGAUGUGGAAUUCCAGGUGUAGCGGUGAAAUGCGUAGAUAUCUGGAGGGACACCGGUGGCGAAGGCGACAUCCUGGACCGGCAUUGACGCUGAGGCGCGAAAGCCAGGGGAGCAAACGGG